Molecule: ribosomal RNA, 335 nt
Filed under: uncultured Ruminococcus sp.
Lineage: Bacteria; Bacillati; Bacillota; Clostridia; Eubacteriales; Oscillospiraceae
Description: bacterial SSU rRNA
Rfam family: Bacterial small subunit ribosomal RNA
Source: RNAcentral
AGUAGUUUGAUCAGUGGCUCAGACACGCUGGCGGCACGCUUAACACAUGCAAGUCGAACGGAGUUAUCGAGAGCUUGCUUUUGAUAACCUAGUGGCGGACGGGUGAGUAACACGUGAGCAAUCUGCCCUUAAGAGGGGGAUACCAGUUAGAAAUGACUGUUAAUACCGCAUAAGAUAGUAGUAUCGCAUGAUACAGCUAUAAAAGAUUUAUCGCUUAAGGAUGAGCUCGCGUCUGAUUAGCUGGUUGGUGAGGUAACGGCUCACCAAGGCAACGAUCAGUAGCCGGACUGAGAGGUUGGACGGCCACAUUGGGACUGAGACACGGCCCAGACUCC